GUCUACGGUCAUUAUCACCCUGAACGCCACCCGAUCUCGUCUGAUCUCAUAAGCCGAAGCAGGGUCGGGCCUGGCUUAUAACUUGGAUGGGAGACCGCCUGGGAAUACCGGGUGCUGUAUGCU
This 123-nucleotide ribosomal RNA is filed under the name Tursiops truncatus (common bottlenose dolphin). Lineage: Eukaryota; Metazoa; Chordata; Mammalia; Artiodactyla; Delphinidae. The record is from RNAcentral.